CCAGACUCCUACGGGAGGCAGCAGUGGGGAAUAUUGCACAAUGGGGGAAACCCUGAUGCAGCAACGCCGCGUGAGUGAUGACGGCCUUCGGGUUGUAAAGCUCUGUCUUCAGGGACGAAGAUGACGGUACCUGGGGAGGAAGCUCCGGCUAACUACGUGCCAGCAGCCGCGGUAAUACGUAGGGAGCGAGCGUUGUCCGGAAUUACUGGGUGUAAAGGGAGCGUAGGCGGGACUGCAAGUUGGGUGUCAAAUCUACCGGCUCAACCGGUAGCCGCACUCAAAACUGCAGUUCUUGAGUGAAGUAGAGGCAGGCGGAAUUCCUAGUGUAGCGGUGAAAUGCGUAGAUAUUAGGAGGAACACCAGUGGCGAAGGCGGCCUGCUGGGCUUUUACUGACGCUGAGGCUCGAAAGUGUGGGGAGCAAACAGGAUUAGAUACCCGAGUAACG
Molecule: ribosomal RNA, 446 nt
Filed under: uncultured bacterium
Lineage: Bacteria
Description: bacterial SSU rRNA
Rfam family: Bacterial small subunit ribosomal RNA
Source: RNAcentral